CGUACAAGCAGUGGGAGCCUCUUAAUGGGGUGACUGCGUACCUUUUGUAUAAUGGGUCAGCGACUUAUAUUCUGUAGCAAGGUUAACCGAAUAGGGGAGCCGAAGGGAAACCGAGUCUUAACUGGGCGUUAAGUUGCAGGGUAUAGACCCGAAACCCGGUGAUCUAGCCAUGGGCAGGUUGAAGGUUGGGUAACACUAACUGGAGGACCGAACCGACUAAUGUUGAAAAAUUAGCGGAUGACUUGUGGCUGGGGGUGAAAGGCCAAUCAAACCGGGAGAUAGCUGGUUCUCCCCGAAAGCUAUUUAGGUAGCGCCUCGUGAAUUCAUCUCCGGGGGUAGAGCACUGUUUCGGCAAGGGGGUCAUCCCGACUUACCAACCCGAUGCAAACUGCGAAUACCGGAGAAUGUUAUCACGGGAGACACACGGCGGGUGCUAACGUCCGUCGUGAAGAGGGAAACAACCCAGACCGCCAGCUAAGGUCCCAAAGUCAUGGUUAAGUGGGAAACGAUGUGGGAAGGCCCAGACAGCCAGGAUGUUGGCUUAGAAGCAGCCAUCAUUUAAAGAAAGCGUAAUAGCUCACUGGUCGAGUCGGCCUGCGCGGAAGAUGUAACGGGGCUAAACCAUGCACCGAAGCUGCGGCAGCGACGCUUAUGCGUUGUUGGGUAGGGGAGCGUUCUGUAAGCCUGUGAAGGUGUGCUGUGAGGCAUGCUGGAGGUAUCAGAAGUGCGAAUGCUGACAUAAGUAACGAUAAAGCGGGUGAAAAGCCCGCUCGCCGGAAGACCAAGGGUUCCUGUCCAACGUUAAUCGGGGCAGGGUGAGUCGACCCCUAAGGCGAGGCCGAAAGGCGUAGUCGAUGGGAAACAGGUUAAUAUUCCUGUACUUGGUGUUACUGCGAAGGGGGGACGGAGAAGGCUAUGUUGGCCGGGCGACGGUUGUCCCGGUUUAAGCGUGUAGGCUGGUUUUCCAGGCAAAUCCGGAAAACCAAGGCUGAGGCGUGAUGACGAGGCACUACGGUGCUGAAGCGACAAAUGCCCUGCUUCCAGGAAAAGCCUCUAAGCAUCAGGUAACAUCAAAUCGUACCCCAAACCGACACAGGUGGUCAGGUAGAGAAUACCAAGGCGCUUGAGAGAACUCGGGUGAAGGAACUAGGCAAAAUGGUGCCGUAACUUCGGGAGAAGGCACGCUGAUAUGUAGGUGAAGCGACUAGCUCGUGGAGCUGAAAUCAGUCGAAGAUACCAGCUGGCUGCAACUGUUUAUUAAAAACACAGCACUGUGCAAACACGAAAGUGGACGUAUACGGUGUGACGCCUGCCCGGUGCCGGAAGGUUAAUUGAUGGGGUUAGCGGUAACGCGAAGCUCUUGAUCGAAGCCCCGGUAAACGGCGGCCGUAACUAUAACGGUCCUAAGGUAGCGAAAUUCCUUGUCGGGUAAGUUCCGACCUGCACGAAUGGCGUAAUGAUGGCCAGGCUGUCUCCACCCGAGACUCAGUGAAAUUGAACUCGCUGUGAAGAUGCAGUGUACCCGCGGCAAGACGGAAAGACCCCGUGAACCUUUACUAUAGCUUGACACUGAACAUUGAGCCUUGAUGUGUAGGAUAGGUGGGAGGCUUUGAAGUGUGGACGCCAGUCUGCAUGGAGCCGACCUUGAAAUACCACCCUUUAAUGUUUGAUGUUCUAACGUUGGCCCGUAAUCCGGGUUGCGGACAGUGUCUGGUGGGUAGUUUGACUGGGGCGGUCUCCUCCUAAAGAGUAACGGAGGAGCACGAAGGUUGGCUAAUCCUGGUCGGACAUCAGGAGGUUAGUGCAAUGGCAUAAGCCAGCUUGACUGCGAGCGUGACGGCGCGAGCAGGUGCGAAAGCAGGUCAUAGUGAUCCGGUGGUUCUGAAUGGAAGGGCCAUCGCUCAACGGAUAAAAGGUACUCCGGGGAUAACAGGCUGAUACCGCCCAAGAGUUCAUAUCGACGGCGGUGUUUGGCACCUCGAUGUCGGCUCAUCACAUCCUGGGGCUGAAGUAGGUCCCAAGGGUAUGGCUGUUCGCCAUUUAAAGUGGUACGCGAGCUGGGUUUAGAACGUCGUGAGACAGUUCGGUCCCUAUCUGCCGUGGGCGCUGGAGAACUGAGGGGGGCUGCUCCUAGUACGAGAGGACCGGAGUGGACGCAUCACUGGUGUUCGGGUUGUCAUGCCAAUGGCACUGCCCGGUAGCUAAAUGCGGAAGAGAUAAGUGCUGAAAGCAUCUAAGCACGAAACUUGCCCCGAGAUGAGUUCU
Molecule: ribosomal RNA, 2265 nt
Filed under: Escherichia coli
Lineage: Bacteria; Pseudomonadati; Pseudomonadota; Gammaproteobacteria; Enterobacterales; Enterobacteriaceae
Description: bacterial LSU rRNA
Rfam family: Bacterial large subunit ribosomal RNA
Source: RNAcentral